GUUACUUUUUGUUGAGCUCACUAAACUUCCGCUUUCCUUUCUCUUCACAAGAAUUUUCUUAGAAUUAGAGACAACGCCGAGAAGAGGAAACCUUUGCAACCCUUUCUCCCAGAAGAAUGUAUUUUUUGGUGAUCCUGGCUUUUCUAGGACGAAUUACGGGUGAGACUUUCUUUCGUCAUUAUGAAAAUGGAAAUUUCACACUUAAGUGCAAUGGAACAGUGGCUAAUGAGAAGGAAACAAUUUGGUAUGAAGCUGAAGAAUCUCUGCAAGAAUUCCAAGUAAUCAACUACUGCAGUAAUCAACAGCCCAAAGUAAUCAAUGGACCAAACAAAUGCUCUGAUAAAACAAAGUGUACAAACCAAUUAUCAACUUCUGAUUCCAAAGGUGGUGGGGUAUUUGCAUGCGAGCAAUUUAUAAAUACUGGAACGUCACAGACUUGCCCACUUUUUACCAGUGUGACUCACUGCAGACAUUAUAACUUUUUUAUUGUGGUGAUAAUAAACAUGACCGCAGAUAAGGAGACAUUUGAGACCAUUCCGUCAAAAUCACACGAUAAUCAUUUAGUAGAAGAAGAAAGUAACAUCACUCUCUCUUGUGAAUUUCAAAUGAAGCAACCAAAACAAACAUUUGUUAUAUAUUGGAUCAAAUAUACAGAAACAAGCAAAUGCCUGUUUUCUGCUGCGAGAGAGCAGUAUACUUUGUCGUAUAAUACACAUUGCUGUAUUGAUGAGAUGAUCGAAGGACGACUAGUGAACUAUACAAGCUUAGAUUCAGAAGAGAAACAUGUAGUCCAUAAUAUGACCAUCUUGAAUGUUACUGACUCUGACAGUGGAACUUAUUUAUGUGUUGUAAAUUCCUGGGCAAGAAAUAAACAUGUGUGGAAGAUUGCAAAUAACCUUUCUAUAGAAGUGAGGAAUCAAGCCAUUCCAUCCUCUGCUUCUGUGACAUUGUAUGCCGCCACAGGAUUGAUCGUAGGGAUUAUUAUCAUCAGUGGGAUAGCGUGGUUGAUCUAUAAAAAGAAAAUCAAAUCAAAAGGCAAGCCACCUGCACAACUUCCCAGAGCUCAGGCUGCUCUUGAAAUUUCUGGAGAUGAAUGUUCCCCGUAUGCAGUGAGCAGCAGCAAAGACUUUCAAAGAAAUGAAGUGUUGUAUUCACUUGCAACGAGCCCAUAUGAGGACCCAAAUGCAGCCUAUUGUACAGUGGGUAACACUGCAACAUCUGGCAAGGGGACAGGAGAUGAAAUUCAUACAGUCUAUGCAGUGGUGCCACAAUAGCUGUUCCUGUAAGUGACUUGUAAGAGGAAGUGUUAUUUUUGACAAAUGACAUUGCAAAUAGAACCACCCAGGUUAGUCACACUAGUAUAACUAAUAGGGGCUAUAUGAGUACAGUAACUCUUUGCUUAAAUUGUAGUUAUGUUCCUGAAAAAUGCUAUUUUAACUGAAAUGAUGUUAAGCAAAUCCAAUUUCCCCAGAAGAAUUAAUGUAAACAGGAGGGGGAUAGGUUCCAGGGAUUUUUUUUUCACCAGACAAAAGACUCUCUCUCUCUCUCUGUAUAUGUACACACACAGUAUAAGUUUUAAUCAGUUUAAGACUGUACACAGCAAUGAUAAUUGUGAAGCUUUGUUGAGGUGGUGCAGUCAGAGGGUGGAAGAGGGAGGGAUAUUUCCCAGGGAAUGUCUUACUGCUAAAUGAUGAACUAGUGCUUGGCUGGGCCCUCAAGGGUUAACACGUUGUUAAUGUAGCCUCACACUCUACGAGGGAGCAUGGAUGGAAGGAGGGGAGACAGCAUGGCAGAGAGAAACAGAGACACACACCGUGUGUGUGUGUGUGUGAGAGAGAGAGAGAGAGAAAGACGCACACAUUGCCCCUUUAAGUACGCUGACACCACUCUAAGUACAUUGCUAUUUUAUGUAGAUCAGCAAGUUGAGACAGUAGCUGCUGCCUGCAAGCUCCCUCUAUCUUGAGCCCUGUCAUGUGUCCCCUCUGCUCUGUGGAGAUGAGGUACAGGAGUGGAGGGAGGGGGGCACCCUGACAUUAGCACCCCUCUUCAUCUCCCUCUACCCCCUGCACAGCAAGGAGGAGGCUCCCAGGAGCAGCUCCAAGGCAGAAGGCAGUAGCAGCACACUGCAGUGUAGGGGAGGGAUACCAGAACUGCCCAGCAAUUGAUAGCCUGCUGGGUGGCUGCUGCUCAGGGAACUUAGGGGAGCUGAUAGGGGAGCUGCUGGUCCACCCUGAUUCCAAGCCCCCACCAGCUAGCUCCAAUGGGCUGCUCUUU
Gopherus agassizii (Agassiz's desert tortoise) is the source of this 2274-nucleotide long non-coding RNA. The record is from Ensembl. Lineage: Eukaryota; Metazoa; Chordata; Testudines; Testudinidae.